This 468-nucleotide ribosomal RNA is filed under the name Peribacillus simplex. Its description in RNAcentral is "bacterial SSU rRNA". It matches the Rfam family "Bacterial small subunit ribosomal RNA", at positions 60 to 512 of the family's 1533-position model. The record is from RNAcentral. Lineage: Bacteria; Bacillati; Bacillota; Bacilli; Caryophanales; Bacillaceae.
AGUCGAGCGAUCGAUGGGAGCUUGCUCCCUGAGAUUAGCGGCGGACGGGUGAGUAACACGUGGGCAACCUGCCUAUAAGACUGGGAUAACUUCGGGAAACCGGAGCUAAUACCGGAUACGUUCUUUUCUCGCAUGAGAGAAGAUGGAAAGACGGUUUACGCUGUCACUUAUAGAUGGGCCCGCGGCGCAUUAGCUAGUUGGUGAGGUAAUGGCUCACCAAGGCGACGAUGCGUAGCCGACCUGAGAGGGUGAUCGGCCACACUGGGACUGAGACACGGCCCAGACUCCUACGGGAGGCAGCAGUAGGGAAUCUUCCGCAAUGGACGAAAGUCUGACGGAGCAACGCCGCGUGAACGAAGAAGGCCUUCGGGUCGUAAAGUUCUGUUGUUAGGGAAGAACAAGUACCAGAGUAACUGCUGGUACCUUGACGGUACCUAACCAGAAAGCCACGGCUAACUACGUGCCAGC